AGCUUGUUCAUCACCUUGAUUACUCCUCGUCCUCGAUAUCUGCUUGAAAUGAAGCACAUAUGAAGGCGAUCGGUGGCAAGGGUGGAUGAGCGUAGGUGAAUACGUAGGUUUCUGGGUGGAAAUCAGUGGCAAGGGUGGAUGAGCGUAGGUACCUGAAGGUGAUCAAUUCAUCUUCCGCUUGUAAUCAUCACAGAUAUCAUCGUCGUGAGCAUCUUUGGCGAAUUUAGGAAUGAAAUUGGGAAAGAAAGAAACAAAGUCAAUGCGCAAGAAAGCAAAAUCAUUCCGAUAGUUAAUUAGAUGUAUGACUCGAUUCCCGC
This 317-nucleotide long non-coding RNA is filed under the name Brachypodium distachyon (stiff brome). Its description in RNAcentral is "long non-coding RNA (BDIS_LNC002421)". Lineage: Eukaryota; Viridiplantae; Streptophyta; Magnoliopsida; Poales; Poaceae. The record is from RNAcentral.